This 80-nucleotide small RNA is filed under the name Flavobacterium sp. 1. RNAcentral's name for it is "Flavo-1 RNA". It matches the Rfam family "Flavo-1 RNA". The record is from RNAcentral. Lineage: Bacteria; Pseudomonadati; Bacteroidota; Flavobacteriia; Flavobacteriales; Flavobacteriaceae.
CCCUAGCCCUGAUAGAAGCGACAUCCUUUUUAUUCGCUUUUUUUGCGAAUAAAAAGAUAUAGCGGAUAGCAGGAAACAGC